AGUGGGAGGACUGAGGCCCAGCGGUGAACCUCUUACUUUCCUCCCUGAACAGCCCUGCUCUGCUGGUCCUCUGUGGGGACCAUGGAGGGGUCGUGGGGCCGUGGAAGGGUCGUGGGGCCGUGGAGGCCACCACCCCUCUGCUGUCAGAAUUCUGGAGGGAGAGUAUGGCUUCUGUCCUCUUAGACUGAGCCAAGGGAAGAGGCCAGGGGGCCGUGUUCCAGCUGAAGCAAAGGCAAAUGUGGACCCAGCAAUCCUUGUCUUAGCGCUGCUGGGGGCCAUAUGGGCCAUAGGUUGGGAUGAGGGAUCAGGGCCCCAUCCCCUGCCCUCUGCAUCCAGUAGGGGCACAGUGUCAGAAGGAGCACACCUGCAGAGGAGCAGAGCCAGGGAGGAGACCAGAACCCGUGCCAGAGGAGUAUGUGACUUGGAGUUCAGAAGACCCAGGGGGACCUGAGAACUGCCUUCAAGGAAGCAGAGGGAUUUGUUUUCUCGACUGCUUUGAGAGCCCCUCAGAAGGCAGGGAACCCGUCCAGGCCCUCCUUUGGCUGGAAGAAACCGGUGGCAACCUUGAGCAGAUCUGUUCUGACACACACAUUAUGUCCUUUAACGCUCUCCAGCCCACGAGUGGCCUCUGGAUCCCAGCCUGGCCUCCCAGCUCUGACAGCACUGACUUUGAGGCUACAGAGGGAGCUCUUUGGAAUACAAAUCCCUCUGGACCCUCCUGAUCCCAGCUGGUGCCCCAUUCUCAUGCUAAUACGGAGAGUUUGCCAGUAGCUCCUAGAAGAAUUUGCUGCUGUAGGAAAUCCACCCCAAGCCUUCCUCCUGGCGACCGGGACAGUGUCUCUGGAGUCCUUUCCAGCCUGGCCUCCUGGCACCCAGCACUUGGUUCCGGCCCUACAUCCAGCGGUCCUGGGUGUGCCAUGGGCAGGCCCCAGACCUGGACAACCUUCGCCUCCUUCUCAGCUUGGUGAACUCUUACUCAUCCUUCAACGCCCAAUUCAGAUAGCACCUCCCCUGCGAAGCCCCCCUGACUCCUCCAAGCUCACUUCCUCCUCUAUGCUCCCACUUCCCAUGCCUCUAAGGCAUUGCCUAAGGGUAGGUCUACCUCCUUCCCUAGCCUGGGAAGUCUUUGCUGGAAGGGCCCAUGACUGACUCACCUGCAUGCCUCCAGCUCCCAGCACAGGGCCUGGCCCUGAGAAAUAUUUAUAGAAUAUAAAUAUUGGCGUGAAUGUGCAGGAUGGUUCCAACGGAGAAAGCCUGUGAUCUCCACUCUUGUAGGAUCUCUAACAAAAUGAAGCCACUUAAACCUAAGCAGGCAGGCAACACCUAGAGCGAUGGAUGUCUCCUUGCUCGGCACAACCUUCUCUCUGCUCAUUGCUCGUUUCAGCCAGAGCCGUGGUAGACGCUUCUGGGCAAGUUCGGGUUCGCCCUGUCUUGGAAGUGUCCCUCCUCAAGCACACCCCUUGUCCCAUGCCAGGAGAGCCCUCUUGGCCCAUGAACAAACGCAAGCCAAAAGUGCAGGGGAACUAACACCCCGUGACAAUCCUCAGCCGAUGGGGAAUGGGAGCCUGUGGGUAAUGGCUCCAGUCCCCGCUUUUCAGGUGGACGGUUCUGGAGAGGAUCCGUGGGCUCCUCAGAGGUCAAGGCGGGAUGGAGCCGUACUCUCCACCAGAGAGACCUUGAGGGUAUUCUGUAUGCUGGCUGGUCCCCUCUCCCUGCUUGCUCUCCUACACCAUCAAACUUUCUGCUCUCGAGUCCUGGUCUCAGGUUCUGUUUUGGAGAAAACGUUUAUCAAGACAAUGAGCUAAGCAGAAGAAAUUUCUUGACUGAAGACUCCUUCUCUCACCGGCUCUGACCCUGAUUCCUGGGGCUUCUUGUCCGACAAAACCCUAUCUUAACUUCCAAGGGGUCUCUGGGGUGUGUGCGAGGCUCCGUGGAGGAGAGUUAUUCAGGGAAUUAUUUCCUGAAAUUAAACUCCACGGUCCCUGAGGGAAGGAGUGA
Molecule: long non-coding RNA, 1998 nt
Organism: Neofelis nebulosa (Clouded leopard)
Lineage: Eukaryota; Metazoa; Chordata; Mammalia; Carnivora; Felidae
Exons: 4
Source: RefSeq, a predicted model, not a curated record